Molecule: ribosomal RNA, 249 nt
Filed under: uncultured bacterium
Lineage: Bacteria
Description: partial 16S ribosomal RNA
Rfam family: Bacterial small subunit ribosomal RNA
Source: RNAcentral
UACGGGGGGGGCAAGCGUUGUUCGGAAUUACUGGGCGUAAAGGGCUCGUAGGCGGCCAACUAAGUCGGACGUGAAAUCCCUCGGCUUAACCGGGGAACUGCGUCCGAUACUGGAUGGCUUGAGUUCGGGAGAGGGAUGCGGAAUUCCAGGUGUAGCGGUGAAAUGCGUAGAUAUCUGGAGGAACACCGGUGGCGAAGGCGGCAUCCUGGACCGACACUGACGCUGAGGAGCGAAAGCCAGGGGAGCAAA